Molecule: ribosomal RNA, 484 nt
Filed under: uncultured bacterium
Lineage: Bacteria
Description: bacterial SSU rRNA
Rfam family: Bacterial small subunit ribosomal RNA
Source: RNAcentral
CUACGUGCCAGCAGCCGCGGUAAUACGGAGGAUGCGAGCGUUAUCCGGAUUUAUUGGGUUUAAAGGGUGCGUAGGUUGUUCGGUAAGUCAGCGGUGAAACCUGAGCGCUCAACGUUCAGCCUGCCGUUGAAACUGCCGGGCUUGAGUUCAGUGGCGGCAGGCGGAAUUCGUGGUGUAGCGGUGAAAUGCAUAGAUAUCACAAGGAACUCCGAUUGCGAAGGCAGCUUGCCAUACUGCGACUGACACUGAAGCACGAAGGCGUGGGUAUCAAACAGGAUUAGAUACCCUGGUAGUCCACGCAGUAAACGAUGAUUACUAGGAGUUUGCGAUAUACCGUCAAGCUUCCACAGCGAAAGCGUUAAGUAAUCCACCUGGGGAGUACGCCGGCAACGGUGAAACUCAAAGGAAUUGACGGGGGCCCGCACAAGCGGAGGAACAUGUGGUUUAAUUCGAUGAUACGCGAGGAACCUUACCCGGGAUUGAA